GGUUGGCUUAGAAGCAGCCAUCCUUUAAAGAAAGCGUAAUAGCUCACUAGUCGAGUCGGCCUGCGCGGAAGAUGUAACGGGGCUCAAACUGGUUACCGAAGCUGCGGCUGUGCACGCAAGUGCACGGGGUAGGGGAGCGUUCUGUAAGCCGUUGAAGGUGUGUCGAGAGGCAUGCUGGAGGUAUCAGAAGUGCGAAUGCUGACAUGAGUAACGAUAAAGGGGGUGAAAAACCUCCUCGCCGGAAGACCAAGGGUUCCUGUCCAACGUUAAUCGGGGCAGGGUAAGUCGACCCCUAAGGCGAGGCCGAAAGGCGUAGUCGAUGGGAAACGGGUUAAUAUUCCCG
Molecule: ribosomal RNA, 343 nt
Filed under: Curtobacterium sp. MCBA15_007
Lineage: Bacteria; Bacillati; Actinomycetota; Actinomycetes; Micrococcales; Microbacteriaceae
Description: bacterial LSU rRNA
Rfam family: Bacterial large subunit ribosomal RNA
Source: RNAcentral